Molecule: ribosomal RNA, 696 nt
Filed under: uncultured bacterium
Lineage: Bacteria
Description: bacterial SSU rRNA
Rfam family: Bacterial small subunit ribosomal RNA
Source: RNAcentral
AACGCUAGCUACAGGCUUAACACAUGCAAGUCGAGGGGAAACGACAUCGAAAGCUUGCUUUUGAUGGGCGUCGACCGGCGCACGGGUGAGUAACGCGUAUCCAACCUGCCCACCACUUGGGGAUAACCUUGCGAAAGUAAGACUAAUACCCAAUGAUAUCUCUAGAAGGCAUCAGAAAGAGAUUAAAGAUUUAUCGGUGAUGGAUGGGGAUGCGUCUGAUUAGCUUGUUGGCGGGGUAACGGCCCACCAAGGCUACGAUCAGUAGGGGUUCUGAGAGGAAGGUCCCCCACAUUGGAACUGAGACACGGUCCAAACUCCUACGGGAGGCAGCAGUGAGGAAUAUUGGUCAAUGGACGAGAGUCUGAACCAGCCAAGUAGCGUGCAGGAUGACGGCCCUAUGGGUUGUAAACUGCUUUUAUAAGGGAAUAAAGUGAGUCUCGUGAGACUUUUUGCAUGUACCUUAUGAAUAAGGACCGGCUAAUUCCGUGCCAGCAGCCGCGGUAAUACGGAAGGUCCGGGCGUUAUCCGGAUUUAUUGGGUUUAAAGGGAGCGUAGGCCGGAGAUUAAGCGUGUUGUGAAAUGUAGAUGCUCAACAUCUGCACUGCAGCGCGAACUGGUUUCCUUGAGUACGCACAAAGUGGGCGGAAUUCGUGGUGUAGCGGUGAAAUGCUUAGAUAUCACGAAGAACUCCGAUUG